This is a long non-coding RNA of Empidonax traillii (willow flycatcher), 521 nucleotides long. RefSeq lists it as uncharacterized. The transcript has 2 exons. The record is from RefSeq and is a predicted model, not a curated record. Lineage: Eukaryota; Metazoa; Chordata; Aves; Passeriformes; Tyrannidae.
GGGUCGGGGGCGGCUGCGUCAUGACUCCGCCAGCUGAUCCGGGACGGAGCCGGCGCGGCGGGGGAGGCGGCACCGGGCACGGGGACCGGCACCGGGCACGGGGAACCGCCACGGCCCGGCCGCCACCGGGGGGACCAGACCCGCAGGUGCUUCCAUGCCGCCCCCUGCUCCUGGCUAACCAGCACCAGUUCUUCAGUGGCAAGCUUUAUGUCCUUCUCCAGUAGCUAAAGCUGCCAGUUGAAGAACUGUUGAAUGUAGCCACUCUCUUCUUGUCACCGGGACCUUGGAUGCCAGCCAGACCCGAGCCCUGAGCGACCAGGAUGAGCCAGUCUGCAGCGUCCUGUGGAUUUGAGGGCUGAGGAUGAGUCCAGCUGGGAUGAAGAAGUCUUCCCACAGCCUCCAGACAGACCCUUGGCUGGGGGAUUGCCAGGCAGCCCUGUCAAGUGGGGUCCCCCUCAGUGGGGUGGCACUGAGCUGAGAGGAGACCGAAAGAGGCAUUAAACUUUCUGUUUUGCUCAACA